RNAcentral lists this ribosomal RNA (252 nucleotides) under uncultured bacterium. RNAcentral describes it as "partial 16S ribosomal RNA". It matches the Rfam family "Bacterial small subunit ribosomal RNA", at positions 524 to 776 of the family's 1533-position model. The record is from RNAcentral.
UACGUAGGUCCCGAGCGUUGUCCGGAUUUAUUGGGCGUAAAGCGAGCGCAGGUGGUUUAUUAAGUCUGGUGUAAAAGGUAGUGGCUCAACCAUGGUAUGCAUUGGAAACUGGUAGACUUGAGUGCAGGAGAGGAGAGUGGAAUUCCAUGUGUAGCGGUGAAAUGCGUAGAUAUAUGGAGGAACACCGGUGGCGAAAGCGGCUCUCUGGCCUGUAACUGACACUGAGGCUCGAAAGCGUGGGGAGCAAACAGG